Gossypium arboreum is the source of this 366-nucleotide long non-coding RNA. RefSeq lists it as uncharacterized. The record is from RefSeq and is a predicted model, not a curated record. The transcript has 2 exons. NCBI's taxonomy places the organism in Eukaryota, Viridiplantae, Streptophyta, Magnoliopsida, Malvales, Malvaceae.
AAAGUAAAUAAAAAGGAAAUAAAAGAAAAAGAAAGAUAGAAAAGAACAGAGAAGCUCACGAAACAGAGAAAGAAAGGAAAGGAAGAAAGAAAAAGGAAAAAUUGGAGAAUUGAAGCUUGAAAGUUAAAUUGCAAACAAAGGAACCGAGGCAUCCAAUACAAAGGGGAAAGAGAAAGUAGUCGAGGAAUAGCUCGGGGGAAAAUCGAUUUGUAUUAUCAUAAUUCAUAGUAUUUAUUAUUGCAUAUUUAAUUGUAAUAUAUAUAUAUAUAUAUAUAUAUGAAUGUGCGUGAAAAUGACUUGAAUGAGAAUUGUUGAUUAGUUGUGAUUACAUUGAGAAAUAUAAGAGAAUUGAUUGAAAUGUGAAAA